AGUGAACGCUGGCGGUAGGCCUAACACAUGCAAGUCGAACGGCAGCACAGUAAGAGCUUGCUCUUAUGGGUGGCGAGUGGCGGACGGGUGAGGAAUACAUCGGAAUCUACUUUUUCGUGGGGGAUAACGUAGGGAAACUUACGCUAAUACCGCAUACGACCUACGGGUGAAAGCAGGGGAUCUUCGGACCUUGCGCGAUUGAAUGAGCCGAUGUCGGAUUAGCUAGUUGGCGGGGUAAAGGCCCACCAAGGCGACGAUCCGUAGCUGGUCUGAGAGGAUGAUCAGCCACACUGGAAGUGAGCCACGGUCCAGACUCCUACGGGAGGCAGCAGUGGGGAAUAUUGGACAAUGGGCGCAAGCCUGAUCCAGCCAUACCGCGUGGGUGAAGAAGGCCUUCGGGUUGUAAAGCCCUUUUGUUGGGAAAGAAAAGCAGCAGGUUAAUACCCCGCUGUUCUGACGGUACCCAAAGAAUAAGCACCGGCUAACUUCGUG
This 492-nucleotide ribosomal RNA is filed under the name uncultured bacterium. RNAcentral describes it as "partial 16S ribosomal RNA". It matches the Rfam family "Bacterial small subunit ribosomal RNA", at positions 29 to 507 of the family's 1533-position model. The record is from RNAcentral.